Molecule: ribosomal RNA, 483 nt
Filed under: uncultured bacterium
Lineage: Bacteria
Description: partial 16S ribosomal RNA
Rfam family: Bacterial small subunit ribosomal RNA
Source: RNAcentral
AUUGAACGCUGGCGGCAGGCCUAACACAUGCAAGUCGAGCGGAUGAAGGGAGCUUGCUCCUGGAUUCAGCGGCGGACGGGUGAGUAAUGCCUAGGAAUCUGCCUGGUAGUGGGGGAUAACGUCCGGAAACGGGCGCUAAUACCGCAUACGUCCUGAGGGAGAAAGUGGGGGAUCUUCGGACCUCACGCUAUCAGAUGAGCCUAGGUCGGAUUAGCCAGUUGGUGGGGUAACGGCCUACCAAGGCGACGAUCCGUAACUGGGCUGAGAGGAUGAUCAGGCACACUGGAACGGAGACACGGUCCAGACUCCUACGGGGGCAGCAGUGGGGAAUAUUGGACAAUGGGCGAAAGCCUGAUCCAGCCAUGCCGCGUGUGUGAAGAAGGUCUUCGGAUUGUAAAGCACUUUAAGUUGGGAGGAAGGGCAGUAAGUUAAUACCUUGCUGUUUUGACGUUACCAACAGAAUAAGCACCGGCUAACUUCGUG